UGCCAGCCGCCGCGGUAAUACGGAAGGGGCAAGCGUUGUUCGGAAUUAUUGGGCGUAAAGGGCGUGUAGGCGGCUCCAUAUGUCUGCGGUGAAAGCAUGCGGCUCAACCGCAUUAAGCCGUGGAAACUGUGGAGCUUGAGGCUGGGAGGGGCUGGUGGAAUUCCCUGUGUAGCGGUGAAAUGCGUAGAGAUGGGGGAGAACACUCGUGGCGAAGGCGGCCAGCUGGACCAGUUCUGACGCUGAGGCGCGAAAGCGUGGGGAGCAAACAGGAUUAGAUA
This 278-nucleotide ribosomal RNA is filed under the name uncultured bacterium. RNAcentral describes it as "partial 16S ribosomal RNA". It matches the Rfam family "Bacterial small subunit ribosomal RNA", at positions 506 to 784 of the family's 1533-position model. The record is from RNAcentral.